RNAcentral lists this ribosomal RNA (449 nucleotides) under uncultured bacterium. RNAcentral describes it as "bacterial SSU rRNA". It matches the Rfam family "Bacterial small subunit ribosomal RNA", at positions 355 to 796 of the family's 1533-position model. The record is from RNAcentral.
UCGAGAAUCAUUCGCAAUGGGCGAAAGCCUGACGAUGCGACGCCGUGUGAGCGAAGAAGGCCUUAGGGUCGUAAAGCUCUUUCGCUUGGGAACAAGAUGAGCUGGCUAAUAUCCAGUGAUUUUGAGCGUACCAGGUAAAGAAGCACCGGCUAACUCCGUGCCAGCAGCUGCGGUAAUACGGAGGGUGCAAGCAUUAAUCGGAUUUAUUGGGCGUAAAGGGCGCGUAGGCGGGGAUGAAAGUCAGAUGUGAAAUCCCGAGGCUCAACCUCGGAACAGCAUUUGAAACUCCAUCUCUUGAGGAUAGGCGGGGAAAACGGAAUUCCACAAGUAGCGGUGAAAUGCGUAGAUAUGUGGAAGAACACCGGUGGCGAAGGCGGUUUUCUAGCUUAUUCCUGACGCUAAAGCGCGAAAGCAAGGGGAUCAAACAGGAUUAGAUACCCCUGUAGUCC